This is a long non-coding RNA of Drosophila montana, 2058 nucleotides long. RefSeq lists it as uncharacterized. The transcript has 4 exons. The record is from RefSeq and is a predicted model, not a curated record. Lineage: Eukaryota; Metazoa; Arthropoda; Insecta; Diptera; Drosophilidae.
ACCAUAUUAUAAUUAGCACUUUUAUAAUUAUUGCAUAAAUUUACAAAACUGUAUAUUUCUGGAAUAUUUGCUUAGCAGUAAUUUAACGUACUUGCAUUUCUCUCUACUGCAUAAUUGCUGUAUGUACAUAUAUGUAUAUCAAUUAUGUGGAUUUCGUGUGUGUAAGAAUAUAGUCUUCAAACUGAAGUCUGAAGUCAGAAUGCACAGAAGGAAUAAGGAUUUGGCUAACUCUUCCGUGGUGUUGUCGACCAAGUUGUAUUUUCAAAGUUGACUUUGACUUCGACUUUGUUUACACGAUAACAUUGUACCAUAAAUCAGAUCCACUAUUAAUGUCCGAAAUGUCAAAAAUGGCGGUCACAAAUCAAUUUAAUUAAAUCCACGCCCAGCGAACCAGAGAAACCGACGACCGCGUGGAGCUGGACGGGCAUGAAUGUUGAGAGUAAAUAUGAAGGUCCCGGGUCCACCUAUAGAACAGCGACCGCGAACCAAACCACAAACGGAAAACAGAACACAAACAAGGCCAUCGGAAAUCACACGCGAAAUUGAAAUCCACAUUCAAAUAUACGCAGCACACGAACCGGCUUGAAUUGAUUAACAACCAGUUUCUUUUUUUCUUUUUUUUUUGGUUUUGGUUUUGAAUUGGUUUUAUUUUUGUUUUCUUUUUUUUUUAACUUGAUUUUAAUUUUUCACAAUUGGAACCACUCUCCGUUUGAGCGGCCUGUUCAGACAAUGGCAGCCAUGGGCUUCGCCUUCUACAGUCUGACUGUCGCAUACGACACCUCGAGAAAAGUGGAAGCCUCGACCUCGAUUUGGCUAUCGAGCAUUCUUUGGCCAUUGUCUGCUCCUUGAAGCCCGGCUGCCUGAGCAGAUAUCAAUUGCCGGAUGAUGAAUGAAGCAGGACGUCUGGUUAACGCGGCGUCGACCUGAGAGCAAAGUGUCCAAAAAAUAAUAUUUGCUGUUCAGUUUGACAGUUCAGUCAGUGGCUGCCGAGACCGAUGUCGCGGCGAAGGCUGUGGAAGCGCAGUCGGCGCGGCGCACGAAGUGGCGUCGAGACAAGAACGAAGCAAAAAGCAACAUAAACGCAAAUUGAGAGUGAGAACGGGAAGGCAGAGCCGGCAGUAACAGUAACAGCAACAGCAACAGCCACAGCAAAAGCCAAAGCCACAGCAACAGCCAGAGCAAUCAGAUACAGACAGCGAACGGACGCGUUCCGCGCAGGGGAAAAGGUAUUGCUUGGCGGUGGUUGAGAGACAGAAUGAAUGUCUCACAUGCCUUGGCCAGUGCUGCCUCGUGCAAGCUGGUGUGGUUGUUUGUGCCUAUGUGAGUUUUGGAUGUGGAUGACUAUACCGAUGACAGCGUCGAGUCGCUUAGUUAGACGAAAAAAAAAGGUCAUAAACCCAAAGCAGAAGCAGCGGCCGCAACACUUACGCUUACCAGAACGCCAAAGGACCGAGAUAGAGUACGAAAACGAAAUGAAAAUAGGAAUGAGAAUAAACAAGAGCUGGGAGCUGCGAGCUGAGAACUGCGAACUGCGAGUUGAGAGCUGAGAGCAACCACAUGGCAGCACCAUUGCUGAGUAGCGAUGAAAAGAUGAAAAGCCAGAGGAGCAGCAGUUGAAGCAAAAAGGCGCAGCGAUGGGCAAUAAAACGCGUAAGCAGCUGCCCUCUCCUUCUGGUGCGCGCUUUGUGCGCUCUCGUGCUCUCUCCCUCGCACGCGCACACAUAGAGACAACAAAACAACCACCGAAGCACUCUCACGAAGCGACAGACUCCAAUACAGGCACAUGUCCAAUCAUUUUAUAUACGCCAUUUGCUGUCUGCUGUAGAUACAUUUGUAUCUUUAUGUGCCAAACAAGUCAACGACGCGCACGACGUUCAACACAGAGAUCUGUAUAUACUUGACACUUGUGCAUGUGUGAUUGUGUGUAUAUAUUCUAUACUGAUAUUGACGCUGACGGCAUCGACAUCGACAUCGACAUCGACAUUGGCAUCAACGACGAGUCAAUUUUGAAUUACAAUUUCGCAUCAGUGGUUGUUGUCGUUUCUCUUACUGCAAAAA